Molecule: ribosomal RNA, 333 nt
Filed under: uncultured bacterium
Lineage: Bacteria
Description: partial 16S ribosomal RNA
Rfam family: Bacterial small subunit ribosomal RNA
Source: RNAcentral
CCUACGGGAGGCAGCAGUGAGGAAUAUUGGUCAAUGGACGCAAGUCUGAACCAGCCAUGCCGCGUGCAGGAAGACGGCGCUAUGAGUUGUAAACUGCGUUUGUACGAGGGGAAACGCAGAUACGCGGAACUGUCUGAAAGUAUCGUACGAAUAAGGAUCGGAUAACUCCGUGCCAGCAGCCGCGGUAAUACGGAGGAUUCAAGCGUUCUCCGGAUUGAUUGGGUUUAAAGGGUGCGUAGGCGGUCGGAGAAGUUAGAGGUGAAAUCCCGAGGCUCCACUUCGGAAUUGCCUCUGAUACUGGUCGGCUAGAGCGUAGUUGCGGUAGGCGCACUG